AUUGAACGCUGGCGGCAGGCCUAACACAUGCAAGUCGAGCGGAGCGGCGGACGGGUGAGUAAUGCCUAGGAAUCUGCCUGGUAGUGGGGGAUCACGUCCGGCAAAGGGCGCUAAUACAGCAUACUAUCAGAUGAGCCUAGGUCGGAUUAGCUAGUUGGUGGGGUAAAGGCCUACAAGGGCGACGAUCCGUAACUGGUCUGGGAGGAUGAUCAGUCACACUGGAACUGAUACACGGUCCAGACUCCCACGGUAGGCAGCAGUGGGGAAUAUUGGACAAUGUGCGAAAGCCGGAUCCAGCCCUGCCGCGUGUGUGAAGAAGGUCUUCGGAUUGUAAAGCACUUUAAGUUGGGAGGCGUUACCAACAGAAUAAGCACCUGCUAACUUCGUGCCAGCAGCCGCGGUAAUAC
RNAcentral lists this ribosomal RNA (407 nucleotides) under uncultured bacterium. RNAcentral's name for it is "partial 16S ribosomal RNA". It matches the Rfam family "Bacterial small subunit ribosomal RNA", at positions 30 to 526 of the family's 1533-position model. The record is from RNAcentral.